CCUUCCUCCUCCAUAAAGCUAGAUGAUGAUGACAGCACUCCCAAACUCCUGGGUUAUACUACCAAAGCUCCCAUUUGUCCAAAGCCUUCUCCAUUCCGACUCUCCAAGGCCAAGAGGUCCUAAGAAGAUAAAACAAGAUCUCUUGAGAACAUCUCUGACUUGAGGGUGAAGUUCCACUGACCGACUGGCCGGAUGGAGGGUGUGACUUAACUACAGUGAUGGGAGGUGCUGAGUGCGAGAGAGUUGUCAAAUGUUACCCUGGGGGGUGGAGGCAUAUCUGUUUGAGAUUUUGACUGAUUAAAUGGUUGUUUGGUUAUUUGUUUCCUCCUGACUCAUAUGCCUUUGUCAUGCACAGGCACCUUGGAAACAAUAAGAGCUACAAUUCUGAGAGCCACAUGCUCUGCCAAGCAAAAUGCUGAAUAAGCAGGAAGCGCCCACCGCACCCUGGGAUUGGGAACUGAAAUAGGCUGAAAAGAUAGUUCUCUUCCAGGACCAGAUCCCUACAGAAACUCCCCAAUGAUCACAAGAGCAAAGAGGUUCCCCCCCGGCCAGUUUGGAGCUACUCUGAGAGCCACGCCUGAUGCCUGAGGCAAGAAAGAAAGUGAGCUGAUGCCAGAAGAGCCUGCCCGGACUGGCUGGUCUGACAUUACUGUGAGCAGUAGCCUGUCCACCCCUUAUUUAAAGCUUACAAUGUCUGUUCUUGUUGCAGAAACAGACCUGGCAUUAGGAGCUUUCCAGACCAACCCUCGGCAGCUCUGUAGAGCAGUAAUUAAAUCACCAGACCAUGAUGCUUGCUUUCUGUUCUUUUCACACCUGUCUGCCAGCAGU
Molecule: long non-coding RNA, 828 nt
Organism: Suricata suricatta (meerkat)
Lineage: Eukaryota; Metazoa; Chordata; Mammalia; Carnivora; Herpestidae
Exons: 4
Source: RefSeq, a predicted model, not a curated record